This 434-nucleotide long non-coding RNA is filed under the name Carica papaya (papaya). Its description in RNAcentral is "long non-coding RNA (CPAP_LNC000697)". Lineage: Eukaryota; Viridiplantae; Streptophyta; Magnoliopsida; Brassicales; Caricaceae. The record is from RNAcentral.
CCACCUUCACCGACAAUAGAAAAUCACCAGCUCUUAGGAGAGUUGUUCCUAGUAUGAUUUAUUUUCUUCUGGAGACUACUUAGUGUUUUAAAUUGCAAGCAUUUGAAGUGCUUGAUCUUACUUUUUUGUCACUUAUGGUUCAUCACUUCAAAACUCAAAAUUGAGUUUUCACCUAGUGGGUAGAAUGAUACAGAACAAAAGGAUCUUAAUUUGGAAUUAAUUGUUAUUUAAAGAUAUUUUUUUAAUUAUUAUUAUUGUUAUUCUUUAUUAUUUAAUUUAUUUAGGUAGAUUUUAAGUUCUAGAAACUUUUGAUUUCCUCAUUAGUUUAUUUUCUUUAUUAGUUAUAUGUAAUACCUAUAUAAAGACUAGUAGGUAUCAGUAAAUUGAAUUGGUAAUGAUGAACUAAGAAUUCCUUUGUUGGGAUUAUAUCUCCU